This 801-nucleotide long non-coding RNA is filed under the name Hordeum vulgare. Its description in RNAcentral is "long non-coding RNA (HVUL_LNC000520)". Lineage: Eukaryota; Viridiplantae; Streptophyta; Magnoliopsida; Poales; Poaceae. The record is from RNAcentral.
UGAAUCAAGUGGGAGUUAAUCUUCCAGAUGAGAUAGUGAUGGUUCUCCAAAGUCACUGCCACCAAGCUGUGAGAGCUUCGUUAUGAACUAUAACAUAUCAAGGAUACAUACAAUGAUCCUUGAGCGAUUCGCGAUGUUUGACACUGCGAAAGUAGAAAUCAAGAAGGAGCAUCAAUAGUUGAUGGUUUGUAAAACCACUAAGUUUCAAGAAAGGCAAGGGCUAGAAGGGAUACUUCGUGAAACGGCAAAACAGUUGCUGCACUAAUGAAGAGACCCAAGAUUAAACCCAAACCCGAGACUAAGUGCUUCUGUAAUGAGGGGAACAAUCACUGAGGCGGAGCAACUCAAGAUACUUGGUAGAUAAGAAGGCUGGCAAAAGUCGAAAGAAGUGUAUUUGAUAUACAUGAUGUUGAUGUUACUUUACUAGUACUCCUAGUAGCACGAGGGUAUUGGAUACCGGUUCCGUUGCUAAGUGAUUAGUGACGCGAAAUGAAAGCUACGGCAUAAACGGAGACUAGCUAAAGGCGAGGUGACGAUACGUGUUGGAAGUGUUUCCAAGAUUGAUAUGAUCAAACGUCGCACGCUCCCUCUACCAUCGGGAUUGGUGUUAAACCUAAAUAAUUGUUAUUUGGUGCUUGCGUUAAGCAUGAACAUGAUUGGAUCGUGUUUAUUGCAAUACGAUUAUUCAUUUAAAGAGAAUAAUGGUUACUCUAUUUUCUUGAAUAAUCACCUUCAAUGGUUUAUUGAAUCUCGAUCGUAGUGUUACACAUGUUCAUGAUAUUGGUGCCAAAAGAUACGAGU